RNAcentral lists this ribosomal RNA (543 nucleotides) under uncultured bacterium. Its description in RNAcentral is "partial 16S ribosomal RNA". It matches the Rfam family "Bacterial small subunit ribosomal RNA", at positions 354 to 883 of the family's 1533-position model. The record is from RNAcentral.
UGGGGGAAUUUUGGACAAUGGGCGAAAGCCUGAUCCAGCAAUGCCGCGUGUGUGAAGAAGGCCUUCGGGUUGUAAAGCACUUUUGUCCGGAAAGAAAUCCUUGGCUCUAAUACAGUCGGGGGAUGACGGUACCGGAAGAAUAAGCACCGGCUAACUACGUGCCAGCAGCCGCGGUAAUACGUAGGGUGCAAGCGUUAAUCGGAAUUACUGGGCGUAAAGCGUGCGCAGGCGGUUUGCUAAGACCGAUGUGAAAUCCCCGGGCUCAACCUGGGAACUGCAUUGGUGACUGGCAGGCUAGAGUAUGGCAGAGGGGGGUAGAAUUCCACGUGUAGCAGUGAAAUGCGUAGAGAUGUGGAGGAAUACCGAUGGCGAAGGCAGCCCCCUGGGCCAAAUACUGACGCUCAUGCACGAAAAGCGUGGGGGAGCAAAACAGGAUUAGAUACCCUGGUAGUCCACGCCCUAAAACGAUGUCAACUAGUUGUUGGGGAUUCAUUUCCUUAGUAACGUAGCUAAACGCGUGAAGUUGACCGCCUGGGGGAGUAC